ACUGGACCAAUAUGAACCGCCAUCUUUUAUUCCAGAGCUGUCUUUCUAGUAUUCGUACAAAAUCUUGAACGAAAAAGUUUCGGUUUGUCACAUUGGCGGCUACUGUAGCUGUGUCUUCAUCACAUUACUUAUCGUGAAUAAGUACAAUGACGAAUAUGGCCUACAGCUUUUGUUCCAUUUUAUAAGUUGUUGUCCCAACCAUGCCAACUACCUUGCUGCUCUUUUGUCAGGCUCCCACUGCUGCAGUGUACAACAUGCAUUACACGAGCUUCUUAUUCCAUGUGUUCAAGAGCUGUUUACUUCCACAUAGCUGACAAGAUAUCAGUGUAGUGCAGUUCUCCAAUGGCAGUACCCCAAUGUCUGAGUUGUAGAUUUCAUUGUUCGUGCCACGGUAUAGUAUAUUUAUUGCAGUGUAUGUGAAGCCUGCCGGUACCUGUAUCAGGCUGGUUUGAAAAAUUCUGCAGCGAGAAGUGGCAAGAACAGUGCGGUCACCUAGGGAGCUCCACGGACAGAUCAUGACUGCAAAGCGGCGCCAGCAGUUGCUGCUGUCACGAGUUGCUUUCAGGAGUACACUGCCACGAAGCCCAGCCGCAAAGGCAGAAGUCUGACUGAGUGAAUUGAUCCAAUUAACGGCUACUUGGCUGACUUCCUAAAAAGGCUCAAACACUCACGUCUCAUCCCAUCAUCUUGCGGACUGCCACACAUACCCAUGCCAUACAGCAAGGUCGGGGGCCAUACAGGCUAUGGACUCCAUAGGAGGCCAUACAGUGUACGGACUGCCAUAGGAGGCCAUUCAGUGUACGGACUGCCAUAGGAGGCCAUUCAGUGUACGGACUGCCAUAGGAUGCCAUACAGCGUACGG
Long non-coding RNA from Ornithodoros turicata, 862 nucleotides. RefSeq lists it as uncharacterized. NCBI's taxonomy places the organism in Eukaryota, Metazoa, Arthropoda, Arachnida, Ixodida, Argasidae. The record is from RefSeq and is a predicted model, not a curated record. The transcript has 3 exons.